UCCUGUCUUUUCUUGUAUUUC
Molecule: non-coding RNA, 21 nt
Filed under: Caenorhabditis elegans
Lineage: Eukaryota; Metazoa; Nematoda; Chromadorea; Rhabditida; Rhabditidae
Source: RNAcentral